This is a non-coding RNA of Leptonychotes weddellii (Weddell seal), 874 nucleotides long. Lineage: Eukaryota; Metazoa; Chordata; Mammalia; Carnivora; Phocidae. The record is from RefSeq and is a predicted model, not a curated record.
UGACCCGCAAAUGUCUUAAAAUAUUACAUACCCUUGUGGCUGGGGGAAUCGUCCGUAACCCCAAUCCGCCUCCUCCUUUCUCCCCACCCACUUUCCAUCUCCCCCAACCAGAGAGGGCGCUGGUCUGUUGGGGAGGGGCCAGCUCCAGGAUCACUAGUUCCCUGGAAAUGUGAAGAGGGGUCUGUGGCUGCCCUUUCAGACCAGGGGGGUUCAUUCCUCCCGGAGUGAAGUUGUAACUGGUCUGGUCUUGGCCACUCUGCCGAACUGGCAUUUGCUAUGGAGCCAAGUGAUGAUGUCGCAGUCCCUGGGCAGCCUAUAAUGCUGGGCUGCAGGGUGGAGGGGACCCCUCCAGUGAGAAUCACCUGGAGAAAAAAUGGGGUAGAGUUGCUGGAGAGUACCCACUCCACCUUGCUGGCCAAUGGGUCCCUGAUGAUCCAUCACUUCCAGCUGGAUCGGGGAGGCAGCCCCUCGGAUGAGGGUGACUAUGAGUGUGUGGCUCAGAACCGCUUUGGGCUGGUGGUCAGCCGGAAGGCUCGAAUCCAGGCUGCAAAAGGCUGAUUCAGGCCCGCAUAUGGAGCUCUCUGGGAGGCAGCCCUGGACCUGGAGACCGAAUCACUUCUGGCUCAGCGACCCCUCAACCCCAGCCCUCGGGGUGUGAGGAAGAGAAGCCUGGACGUGGACGCAGGGUGGGGCCCCCGGGAAGAUUUGCCGAGGAGAGAAAGGAGAUUUCUCGGGGAGAGGACCCUCACACUCUCCCCGGCUUGUGUCAACACUGGCCCCUGCAUCGCCAGCCUAGAAUUCUGGGAGAUAAAUCCCAGGUGUUUAUAUAUAGCUAAUUGUAAAUGUGCUUUUCUAUAAAUGGUAAUACCUUCAA